UACGUAGGUGGCAAGCGUUAUCCGGAUUUAUUGGGUUUAAAGGGUGCGUAGGUUGUUUUUUAAGUCAGCGGUGAAAGUUUGUGGCUCAACCAUAAAAUUGCCGUUGAAACUGGAAGACUUGAGUGUGUUUGAGGUAGGCGGAAUGCGUGGUGUAGCGGUGAAAUGCGUAGAGAUCGGGAGGAACACCAGUGGCGAAGGCGGCCUACUGGGCUUUAACUGACGCUGAGGCACGAAAGCGUGGGUAGCAAACAGG
RNAcentral lists this ribosomal RNA (253 nucleotides) under uncultured Parabacteroides sp. RNAcentral describes it as "partial 16S ribosomal RNA". It matches the Rfam family "Bacterial small subunit ribosomal RNA", at positions 524 to 776 of the family's 1533-position model. The record is from RNAcentral. Lineage: Bacteria; Pseudomonadati; Bacteroidota; Bacteroidia; Bacteroidales; Tannerellaceae.